Molecule: long non-coding RNA, 462 nt
Organism: Camelus dromedarius (Arabian camel)
Lineage: Eukaryota; Metazoa; Chordata; Mammalia; Artiodactyla; Camelidae
Exons: 3
Source: RefSeq, a predicted model, not a curated record
GUAGAGAGAGGCAUCCUCUCACUCAUGGACUCCGUCUGCUGCCUACUCCACCCGCUGCCUACUCCACCCAGUCUCCUGGAGGAAGGGUCUGGAAAAAGGCUUGCUGAGAGGACUGAAUGAGAAAACCUAUGCACUGUCUGAGGAUGACUGCUGGCACCAGGAGCUCUCAAUGCAGCCUCACCUGACAGCUGAAAACUCUGAAAAUUGUCUUGAUGUUUGAAACCAUCAAACCAGCCACGCAGAGCAAUAAAAGGUGCCACUUCUGCAGGAUUUGGAGAUUUCUGUUUAAGGUCUUUGUAUAUAGAUUGUGCUUUCUCUUUGAUUGUGGAAAAGAUUAUUCGUGACUUUUUUGCUGUUUUGUGCAUUCUUAUACAGUUUGGUUCAGCUGGGUGCAGUUUUCUGCCUUCACCUAAUAUUUCUCCUGUAUAAAAUCACCCACAGCCAAAUAAAUGCGAAAUUUGU